GACGAACGCUGGCGGCGUGCUUAACACAUGCAAGUCGAACGGAAAGGCCCUGCUUGCAGGGUACUCGAGUGGCGAACGGGUGAGUAACACGUGGGUGAUCUGCCCUGCACUUCGGGAUAAGCCUGGGAAACUGGGUCUAAUACCGGAUAGGAGCCAUUUUUAGUGUGAUGGUUGGAAAGUUUUUUCGGUGUAGGAUGAGCUCGCGGCCUAUCAGCUUGUUGGUGGGGUAAUGGCCUACCAAGGCGGCGACGGGUAGCCGGCCUGAGAGGGUGGACGGCCACAUUGGGACCGAGAUACGGCCCAGACUCCUACGGGAGGCAGCAGUGGGGAAUAUUGCACAAUGGGCGCAAGCCUGAUGCAGCGACGCCGCGUGGGGGAUGACGGCCUUCGGGUUGUAAACUCCUUUCGCUAGGGACGAAGCUUUUUGUGACGGUACCUAGAGAAGAAGCACCGGCUAACUACGUG
Molecule: ribosomal RNA, 465 nt
Filed under: uncultured bacterium
Lineage: Bacteria
Description: partial 16S ribosomal RNA
Rfam family: Bacterial small subunit ribosomal RNA
Source: RNAcentral